RNAcentral lists this ribosomal RNA (241 nucleotides) under uncultured Symbiodinium. RNAcentral's name for it is "partial Bacterial small subunit ribosomal RNA". It matches the Rfam family "Bacterial small subunit ribosomal RNA", at positions 529 to 769 of the family's 1533-position model. The record is from RNAcentral. Lineage: Eukaryota; Dinophyceae; Suessiales; Symbiodiniaceae.
AGGGUGCAAACGUUGUUCGGAAUUACUGGGCGUAAAGCGCACGCAGGCGGUUUGUUAAGCUAGAUGUGAAAGCCCCGGGCUCAACCUGGGAUGGUCAUUUAGAACUGGCAGACUAGAGUCUUGGAGAGGGGAGUGGAAUUCCAGGUGUAGCGGUGAAAUGCGUAGAUAUCUGGAGGAACAUCAGUGGCGAAGGCGACUGCCUGGACUGAUACUGACACUGAGGUGCGAAAGCGUGGGGAGC